Long non-coding RNA from Clupea harengus (Atlantic herring), 762 nucleotides. NCBI's taxonomy places the organism in Eukaryota, Metazoa, Chordata, Actinopteri, Clupeiformes, Clupeidae. The record is from Ensembl.
GGUGAAGUUGUGAAUCGCGAGCUCAUUAGGCAUACUAGCAUGUUAUAAAUAUCCUGGCCAUGGAUGCAUUAAUCAUUGCAUCUGUCUUUCAAAGAUGUCAGGUAAAAAACAAAUAAGCAUCCUGUCCUUCGCCCAAAGGUGAAAGCCCCCUAAAAAGGCCAGAUUAGGCCCAGAGAAGGUCGUAAACACAUUAGAGGAGGAGAUGGUGGAAGUGGAAGAGACAGUGCAGGUGGAAGAGGAAGAGACAGUACAGGUAGAGGAGGGAGAGACAGUGCAGGUGGAGGAGGAGGAGACGGUGGAAGAAACAGUGGAGGAGAUGGCUAGAACAAAAGGGAGAAAAGUCCCAGGAGCAGCCACCUACAAGACCUCUUUUAAUAGUGAAUGGACCUCUAAAUGGCCAUGUAUUACUGUAGGAAGCACCAGCUCAUAUUACUGGUGCUCUAUCUGCGCCAAGAAACCUCCUGUGCCCAUCCAGGUGUGCGGGAUGUGACAAGGCACAUAGUAAGGGGCAUCAGGCCAAACAGCAGGCACUGAAGUGCAAUUAAUACAUCCAAUUCUAUGACUAUGGCAUAUAUAAUGGGAACCAAUACCAAAAAUGAUAAAAGAGUCCAAAAAGGCAACAAACACCUACAAUAAACAACACAAGUCAUAAUUCUCUCUCUCUCUCCCAAAUUGAAUAAAUACUUUGUAAUUGGUUGAAUUGUCAGUGCCAUGUGUCAAAUCUUUUCUGCAAGUCUGAACAAUUAUUAACAACAACAAAAC